ACGCUCGACACCUACGGAGGCAGCAGUGGGGAAUGUUGCACAAUGGGGGAAACCCUGAUGCAGCGACGCCGCGUGAGUGAAGAAGUAUUUCGGUAUGUAAAGCUCUAUCAGCAGGGAAGAAGAUGACGGUACCUGACUAAGAAGCCCCGGCUAACUACGUGUCAGCAGCCGCGGUAAUCUGAGCGGGCUGGCAAGGC
Molecule: ribosomal RNA, 197 nt
Filed under: uncultured bacterium
Lineage: Bacteria
Description: partial 16S ribosomal RNA
Rfam family: Bacterial small subunit ribosomal RNA
Source: RNAcentral